This 373-nucleotide ribosomal RNA is filed under the name uncultured Porphyromonadaceae bacterium. Its description in RNAcentral is "bacterial SSU rRNA". It matches the Rfam family "Bacterial small subunit ribosomal RNA", at positions 355 to 726 of the family's 1533-position model. Lineage: Bacteria; Pseudomonadati; Bacteroidota; Bacteroidia; Bacteroidales; Porphyromonadaceae. The record is from RNAcentral.
UGAGGAAUAUUGGUCAAUGGGCGCAAGCCUGAACCAGCCAAGUCGCGUGAAGGAAGACGGCCCUAUGGGUUGUAAACUUCUUUAGGGUGGGAACAAAGGACGCCACGCGUGGCGAGAUGAGUGUACCACCAGAAUAAGCAUCGGCUAACUCCGUGCCAGCAGCCGCGGUAAUACGGAGGAUGCGAGCGUUAUCCGGAUUUAUUGGGUUUAAAGGGUGCGCAGGCGGCGCGCCAAGUCAGCGGUCAAAGUUCCGGGCUCAACCCGGUGUCGCCGUUGAAACUGGCGUGCUCGAGUGCGUGCGAGGAAGGCGGAAUGCGUUGUGUAGCGGUGAAAUGCAUAGAUAUGACGCAGAACUCCGAUUGCGAAGGCAGCU